This 6935-nucleotide long non-coding RNA is filed under the name Populus tremula. Its description in RNAcentral is "long non-coding RNA (PTRE_LNC001999)". Lineage: Eukaryota; Viridiplantae; Streptophyta; Magnoliopsida; Malpighiales; Salicaceae. The record is from RNAcentral.
AUGGUGGUGAUUUCGGGAACAUCAUUGGGAGUUGAUUCAGGGACAAUAGAGGCACAGUGUUUGUUGUAAUUAGGGAUGUCAAGUUUGGAGGAAGAGACCAUGGGGGUGUAAGAGGUGGUCGAAAGGACCAAGAACAUUGCGACGUGAAGCCAUGAUAGAUAACACCAUGUGCUUGGAGAGGAAUUAGAGGUCAUCAUCCGAUAUUUCUUAGACAAUGAGGAUGGUAAGGCUGGUCUGAACAUCUGGUGGAAUGAAGCGGCGGAUAUAUACUAGACUAGGGUAGCAGUCAUCCGGCAAAGUUUUCUUGCUUUUAAGAACCACGCAAUCUACGCAAAUGGAGAACAUCUGCUCCUGAUAAAGAUAGGGACAGCUUAGAGUACCGUGUCAUAUUUGAAGAGUGCACGCUAGGUGUGCUUGAUUUUUUACUGAAUGAAUAAAAAUAGUAAGAUUUAUCUCGAUAUCUCAUGAAGAACAAGACUCUAAUAUUAUAUAAAAUAAUUAUUUUAAUUUAAUAAUUUAAAUUGUUAGAUAAUAUUUUAAAAUAUAAUUUAUAUUAUUUUAUAAUAUAUAUAUUGUUGGAAAUCAAACACAUUUAUAAAUAUAAAAAAAUUAUUAUUCAUGAAAUGAAUAACUCAUGUUAAUUAUCUCGAGAUAGCACCCUAGAUUCUAUAGAUCUCUAAUACCAAUUGGGAUUAGGGUGUGAUUAAAUCUAGGUGAAAUAAAUUUGAUAAUUUAUUAAAUCUAUGAUGAUUUAGGCUUAACUCAUGAUUAAACCCAAAUUGACAAUUCACAAAGCCUAUGGUUUUAACAUGACUGAACUCAAAUGUAUUGAAUCUAGUAUUUUAGUAAACUCAUGAUUCUCUGUACUCAAUUGAUAGCUGAAUCUAAACACAUUGAAUCUUAUAUUUUGCUAGAUUGAUGAUUCUCGAGGCUUAGUUUAUGGCUGAAUUUAAAUAUAUUAGAUUUAGCAUCUUGUCAAAAUCAUGUUUGAUUGAGUUAUCAUCUUGUUACAAGGUUGAGCUCUUUCAACGCACAAAAAUAAAGAAUAAAAAUACUAAAUCAUCAUAACAGAUGGUUUAUGCUAUGAUUAGUAUAUGUGUUCUUGGAUUUGUUGUUUGGGUCAUUAUAUGUUUAACAUGGACUUAGGCAUUGAUAGUUUAUUAAAAUUCUUUUUUUUUAUAAGUUCUCUUCUUAAAAUAGCCUGAAAGGAUGUUUAGAUACAAGAAAAUUAGUGAAAUCCUUAGUAAAUUGAAAAUCUUAAUUUAAAUAAGAAUAAGAUUCGAAAAACAAGUAGCAAUAUUGAUGUGGAUCGAGUAACAAGACAACAAAAGGGCUGAUUAUUGUUGCACAAUCAAGCACGUUAAAUUUUCUUACGUAACAGUUGGAGUUUCCUCUCAUUUCAUUAUUUAGCUUUUACUCUCCCAAUUAAUUCGGGACGUUUCUUUUUGUUUUUUAGUUUUUAUUUCCUCAUUAAUUCUAGACUGUUUCCCAAUUUAAUGAAGUUGUUUUAGGAUUCUAGGAAUUCUGUUUUCUCCACUGGGGACCUUGUGGACUAAGCUUUGUUUUUGUCUGAUUAUUGUUUUUUGUGUUGUGGUUUGUGUGUUUAUUUUUUAUGCAUUUCCUUUAUUUAUUUCUUAUACGCUUUAAUUUCUGUAUAUAUUUGUUCAUGCAUUGUAUAGAAUUGUCUCAUCCAUCACUUACUUUAAAUUUUAUACAAGCACGCACAACUUGGCCAAGCAGAGUUUGCUCAUAACCAUGCAGUCAAUUGUAGCACCAAGCUCAGCCCCUUUAAAAUUAUGUAUGGGUUUCUCCCACGAUGUCCACUUGACUUGGCUAAACUCUCGAACAACACUAAAGUUAAUCACAAGGCAGAGGAUUUUGUCACCCAGCUGCAUGACAUUCACAACCCUACCCGACAGAACUUGCUGGAAUCUAUCGCCAAAUUCAAACACGAUGAGGACCGCAAGCAGCGUCAUGUCAAUUUUGAGGUUGGGGACUUCGUUUAGGUUGUGCUAGCGAAGGAUCGCUUUCCUAUAGGCGAGUAUAAUAAAUUGUUCUGCACGAAAGAUUGGUCCAGUAGAAAUUAUUGAGAAAAUUAAUUCAAAUGCCUAUCGCCUAAAGCUGCCCAGUCAUCUUCGAAUAGCAAAUGUAUUUAAUGUCAAACAUUUGCUUCCUUUCCACAGGGGAUUUGUCAUCAGAGGAGGAAGAUCUCCCGAAUUCGUGGUUGAAUUCUUCUCAGCUUGGGGAGGAUGAUGUGGACCAGGUAGCAAGACAAUAAAAUAGCUUACUAUUGUUGCACAAUCAAGCACAUUAAAUUUUCUUACGUAACAGUUGGAGUUUCCUCUCAUUUCAUUAUUUAGUUUUUACUCUCCCAAUUAGUUCGGGACGUUUCUUUCUGUUUUUUAGCUUUUAUUUCCUCAUUAAUUCUGGACUGUUUCCCGGUUUAAUGAAGUUGUUUUAGGACUCUAGGAAUUCUGUUUUCUCUAUUUAUUUGGUUGUAAGCACUUUGUGAAAGAUAGACAGAAUAAAAAAAAAUCCAAAACUCCUUUGAGUAGUUAACUCAAAUAUCUUUUUUUCUUUGUUUUUCGCGGAAUUACAUAUUAAAAAAACAUUGUGUGUUAGAACGUGUGUGAAUUCCUUUUGAUCUGCAUUAGAAAUGGAGAAAAAUGAAAAUGAAAACAACUAGCAAGCUAGCUACUCCUGGGUAUAUAGAAUUUAAGAACAAUCUAGAAAAAAUUAAAUUUGAUUUAAUAAUAAAAUAAAAAACUAUGAUUGUUUUUAACAAUUAAGAAAAAUAAUUAUCCAAGAAUAAUGAAAAUAGUGCCGCCGAGGUCGGUAGCCAAUGAAUCUUUGCACAUAGAGAGGUGUGACGUCUUUCAAUUAGUUCUGAAUUCAAUUGACAUAAAUUAAAUGCUACAUUUAAGGUGCGUCAAAGGGCAUAUCGGAUUACCAUUAUAAAACUGAUUAAAUUAAUUAAUCUAAAUGAAUCUCUACAUUGUUCAACAAAGAACAAAAAAAAAUAAGAAAAAUAAAAUGUCAGCGAUUUCAUUUUCAGCAAAAAAGCAAAGACUUGGAACUUUCCAAGCAAAUCCAAGUCUAAUUUGGUGAUGAAUGCAGAAAUCGAUGUAUUGGCUCGUAGUAAGACGUGGUCUUUGCUUUAUUUUGAUCAGUCAAUGAAUAUUGUUUGCUGCAAGUGGGUGUUCAAUAUUAAACAGAAAGCUAAUGACUCUAAUUAAUUAGCAUUUUAAGGCUUUGUUUGGUAGCCAAAAGGUAUAAUCACAAAAAAAAAAAAAAAAAAAAAAACAUUUUGACUUUGAUGACACUUUCAGUGAUCUGGCAACCACUGCUUGAAUGGUACCUAUGGAAAUUUCCUAGGCUGAAUGUUUAUAAGGUGUUGCUUAAUGGUUUUCUUCAUAUUGAUGUUUCCAUGGCGCAACCCAUAAUUUUUUGUAUCCUUAAUUUCUUUCUCAUGUGUGCAAGAUAUAAUACACAUGAGAAGGAAAUUAAGUUUCCUGGUUUUAUACAAAAAAAAAUCCAGGAAGUAACUGAACCGAGCCGAACCAAUUUGGUUUGAACCAAAUUCCAGUUUGCUCUGGUUUAUAUUUUUCCGAGUGCAAGCUUGAAAUUGCACGCUGUGGUUUAGCCUUGCAAUGUUUAUAUCUAUGCCUGUUAUAAAAUGUGAUGAUAUCCAGGUUAAAAACAUUAAAAUCUACACACACACACAUAUAUAAUGGUUACAUAAUUUAUCCACAAUGAACAGCGUUUUCAAUCAAAUAAUCAACUUGACGUUUUCCAAUUUCACAACAGAGCACAAAGACUUUCUAUCUUCAUUUACUAGAAACAGGGAGCUACAAGGCUUCAACUAUCUUGAAUUUGCUAGAGCAUAUAAAUUGUCUUCCUAUCUACUUGUAAUUGCGAAUGAAGAUAAGAUCAUGCAGGGAAGUCUUUGCAAACAAGAGAUAUAUAAAGUCACACAUAAACCUUUUCGCUUCCACAGAUGUAUAUACACACAGGUAGAAACACUGUGUUGACAUGUAAAAUCACACAUGAAGAUUUAUUAGUCAUUUUAUAUAGCAGGGGUCCUAAUAUUUUAGCCCAAUCACAAACGGCGAGGGGAGGGGUGGAGUGGUGAUAAAAAUCACAUGCUCACAAAGGUUUGAACCACAAAUUAUACAUCACUAGCCACUGGUACUUUCUCGUAUCCUUCUAGCUCCUUGAAUCUUUUUGGCAAGAAACAACGACCACCGAAGCGCUGCUGCAGGUAGACGAUAGCAGCAAGAAGAAGGCCCACUAGAGGAAUAAUGAGAUCCCAUGCAGUGGAAUAAUAAUCUCCACCUGUGUCGGCAUACAUGUAUGAACCAUCAAAAUCUUCAACAGAGUAGUUAGCCCUGUAUAGAUCGUAUGCAUGCGGGAGCAAGCGCACAAAUGUGGUUCCUAUGUAGAAGAAACGAGAGAGGGCAUUUUCUGUGGAGUUGUGGAAAAUGUUGAGGAGGAUUUGAGGGAAGAGAAAACCAUCGAGCACCAAACCACCAUAAGAUCUUAAAUCCACCCAAUGGGAACGCUGAUAGGUGCUGCUGUAAGCGUACUCCAUGCCCUCACCCACCGUGUUGUUCCUCCAAUUCACAUACACAGCAAUUAAACCUCCAGAUAUAUAUAGUGGCAAAGACAGAUAGAGUGUCCUCUUCUCAGCAGCCAAGAACGCCUUUUGCUUCCCAUCAGCGAAUCGUGCAGACCAUACAAGCUGCAGAAGGCGGAACUGCAGCAGGAAAGCUACCAUCGUGAUUACCCUUACAAUUACCUCAUUCGCUUCCAACCAUCCACCACUCUGUAGAAGGAAUGUUGUGCGACUUUCCUUUGGCACAAACAAAGCUUCAAAAUUCAGCAUUAGAGGGAUCAUGCGCCCGAGAGUAAGGACUAGAAGCAUGAUAAGUGAGAUGAAAGGGAAAACAGCGGGAUGCUUUUUCACAUACAAGAUCUGGUAUCCCACAAAGACACAAACGAGAGUAUUAGAGAUCAAAGACAUGAUGAUCUCCAGAUCCAUCCUCCGUAUUGACUCCCUCGAAUGCUGACGGUUAAAUGAAACUGCAGAAAAAGAAAGAGGCUCGAAGUACAGAGGAUCAGAUUUUUUCCCUGUGUAUUCAAUGGUCCCCUGGAUAUAAUCAUUUGAAUCUACUGGAGGGAACUGGACAUUUAUAAGAAUCUUACAGUCCAUUGAAUCAUUGUCUGAUGUCCGAUUGUUUGAGUCAAGAUAUCUGCAGCCCACCAUACAAAGUUCUCCUGUUUCAGCAUCAUAAAUUCCUUCAGAGAAGACUUGAACACGAGUAGUCUCAUUCAGCUGGAACCUCAUGCUGUAGCUGAUGUUCUGUGGGAUGCUGUGGUUGGUUUUUCCUUUAACCGGAGAGGAAGCAUCCCUCAAGCUUGAUGAAAUCACAAAGCUGUUUUGUCGAGAAAUUUGAUCACCCACAGCGAUGGGCUGAGAGUAGCCCCAUCCUAUUCUUCUUCUUCUCUUUGAGUCCCUGACCACCAUAUCGAACUCCAUGUCAUUCGAAGUUGCAUCUGGAUGCUUUCCUUUGUUCUUUCUGGGCUGCUUCUCUGAGCAUGACUUUCUUGCUUUAUCAACAACAGUGUACUGGUACUUCGAACCGGGGAUCCCAGCUACAAAAUUUUCAUGACUUCGAAACAUGAUCGUAUUGAAGUAACCCAGAUCAUUCUCACGUUUGUUACUCCAAAUAUGCCCCAUCAUACCACUAGUAUUUCUGAUUGACCAAACGGCAGGGAAUCUGAAACUCAACCUCACCGAACAAUCCUCAAUAUGAGAUUUAUUCAACGAGUUGGCCGAAUUCAAGAUUCGACAGCCAACAACACACAGCUGAUUCUUAUUCACAUCCCAUGAUCCUUCCGCAACCAAUGUUGUGUUUGGAGUGAAGGGUUGGUAAUAAUCAGCAUAGCUACCGUUGGGGAAUUCUAUCAGGAAUCUCAAACUUCGUUUAUCUUCUAAACAUUGAAUUAAUUUCAAGGACAUGAUUUGUGGUAAAUAUCCAACACCCUCACCAAAAGGAUUGCACCUACUUGUGGAAUUGCAACCACUUGAAUACUCCAGUUUAAAAAAAGUAUUCCAACGAGAGAAUGCAUUGCAAAUAGGUGUACUCAGCUUUAAGCUUAGUGACAAACUCUUUGGAACAUCAAUCCCCCCGGUACAGAUCGAGUGCUUUUCCAACCUCAGUGAACUCGUAAUUAUUUUGAGGGAACAUCAACAAGGAGAUUGGCUUAAAAUAUCCUGAAUCACCAGCAGUACUCGAGCUUUCCAAUAUUCCCCUCACCAAACUACUGAUAGUGCUUGAUUUUCUAACUUCAUCAAGCUUAAGUAGAGCGGCAAGAACAACAUGUUCACCCUCCUCUGAGUAAGUAGAACCAGAGCCCACCAUGCAAAGCUUGCCGGUAGAUAUUGACCAGAACCCUUCUACUUCAAAACUCAAAGGACCCCUCGGAGAUCUGUCGUCGUACAUGUAAUACUCCAUAUCCGAGGUUUUCAGGAUCAAACUCGCCUCAACCUUAAAGACACCAUCAACAUCAGUGCUAUAGACACUGUGGGUAGGAAUGAAUAGCUCUCUCCUGUUACUCGAUGGAUAAUGGUAACGAGAUGAGUUUGGAUGAUUCAAUAUGUCUUCCCCACCAAGAAAGUACCCAUCUUGCUCUGCAGCAAAAGGGAUGGUGGUGAUUUCGGGAACAUCAUUGGGAGUUGAUUCAGGGACAAUUGAGGCACAGUGUUUGUUGUAAUUAGGGAUGUCAAGUUUGGAGGAAGAGACCAUGGGGGUGUAAAAGGUGGUCGAAAGGAGCAAGAACAUUGCGAGGUGAAGCCAUGGUAGAUAACACCAUGUGCUUGGAGAGGAAUUAGAGGUCAUCAUCCGAUAUUUCUUGGACAAUGAGGAUGGUAA